ACCANCCACCAUACCACUACACAUCGCCACCGCCACCUACAGAAUCUCCUCCUCCACCAUACCAUUACUCCUCACCCCCACCACCUAAGAAGUCACCUCCUCCACCAUACCAUUACACAUCACCGCCGCCACCUACAGAAUCUCCUCCUCCACCGUACCAUUACUCCUCACCACCUCCACCUAAGAAAUCACCUCCUCCACCAUACCACUACACAUCACCACCACCACCUACAGAAUCUCCUCCUCCGCCAUAUCAUUACUCCUCACCCCCACCGCCUAAGAAAUCACCUCCUCCACCAUAUUACUACACAUCACCCCCUCCACCAGUAAAAUCGCCUCCACCUCCCGUGUAUAUCUACGGUUCUCCUCCACCCCCAGUUUAUUAGGCUUCCAUAAAUUGGUCUCUUGCAAACUAUAAUUAUGCUUUAUUUCGGGUACUAGUACAAUAAAGAAGGCUCCACAAGGAGAUGUUUGAAAGCUAGUUCAUCUACACCCAUUCCGUUUCUAAUAAGGUCUUCAACGUUGCACUCCACGACACCAAUCUUUUAUGUUGUGACCAUUUCUUUUCUAUUACGUCGUUGUAAGACAUCUCUAUACGAAGAAAUGUUGGAAGGGUUAGAUAUUUAUUACGAAAAAAAAAUAUGAAUUGGUUACCGUUGGAAGAGGGUUAUAAGAGUGUUUGUGGCUUUUUCAUUGUUUUUUUUCCAUGUUAAAUUUAUCAUUGUAUAAAUAGGUAGAUGAUGGUAUUUAUAUAUAUAUGAUUGAUUAAUUUCAUCCUUUUUU
This is a long non-coding RNA of Cynara cardunculus var. scolymus (artichoke), 783 nucleotides long. RefSeq lists it as uncharacterized. NCBI's taxonomy places the organism in Eukaryota, Viridiplantae, Streptophyta, Magnoliopsida, Asterales, Asteraceae. The transcript has 2 exons. The record is from RefSeq and is a predicted model, not a curated record.